Molecule: long non-coding RNA, 2178 nt
Filed under: Volvox carteri
Lineage: Eukaryota; Viridiplantae; Chlorophyta; Chlorophyceae; Chlamydomonadales; Volvocaceae
Description: long non-coding RNA (VCAR_LNC001044)
Source: RNAcentral
CCAGACUCUCCCAUUACAGCUCUCCAGCUGACGCUUCUGCAUCACGAUUCUACCUUCAGCUGAUGCUUUCACAUCUUGAUCCUACCUGCAGCUCAUAGGCUUCCGCAUCUCAAUUCAACCUGCAGCCCAUACACUUCCGCACCCUACUUUGUCAGCAGCACUCUCCCUUGACAGCCUUUCACACACUUCAACACAUAUCGAGGCCAGCAAGUGGUUGCCAUGCUUCACUAACCCAGCAUCUGGUCCUCACACCAACGUUGGGCAGGGAGCUUUCCCCGAUUCUUGGGCACCUUCAGGAAAAUAAUCUGUACAUGUGUAUGCCUUUUGCACCCUGAGGGUCGUGCGCAUUACAAGCUCCUUCCAGUAGGGAAUACACCCCAUGAUUCAUGGGACACUGUAACUGUAACUGUAAUACAUAUGCAAAAGUCUCAAUCACCCACAAAACAAGUAGGGCCCCAGCCCAUCUCAGUAAUGAUGCUGAGGCUGCCUACCCACCCGCGUGUUGGCCACAACUGCUUCCACUAGUUCCUCCAUCAGCACUCAGUGCUGCAUGCCUGACUUUGUCUAGCUUUGAAGAACGGCCCAACUGUAACCCACACGUGCGAUCAUGGCAUCCUUGGCCGUGCAGCAGCUGCAUGCCUGAUGGGCCCCUCCUCCAGAGGCAAACAGGAGGUGCAAAGAUCAAAAGCAUGCACCUUACACAUCUAUCAAAACCAUGCAACUUACACAACUAUCAAACCAUGCAUCUUACGCAUCUAUCAAAACCAUGCACCACAGCAUGCCCACGACAGGAGAACACCGCCAUGUGUGACUGCCAUAAUGACUGUGGCUUAAUUAGCACCAUCAGCUGUGCGAGCCAGCCCCGCCUGAUCAGCAGCAUAAGAAGAGCCUGCGGUUGAGCAAAAGCAGGCGUUGGCCGGUGCAGUGUGCAUUAGUCAGUGCAGCGACUUCAGGCAGGCACCUUUGGCAACAUGUGCACACUCCUAUGCAAGCCCGUCCUUGUCCCUAACAUACCACAGGAGGCCUCACCGUCAUGGUGCCUGCUGUGCAACUUGCAGCGCCUCGAUAUCCUGUUGCAGCUGCACGAUAGUCUGCACCUGCUGUGCGAUAGUCUGCAUCUGCUGCACGAUAGUCUGCGCCUGCUGCACAAUAGUCUGCACCUGCUGCACGAUAGUCUGCACCUGCUGCACGAUAGUCUGCGCCUGCUGCACGAUAGCCUGCACCUGCUGUGUGAUAGUCUGCACCUUCACUCACCCCUGCGUCUCUUGUAGGGCAUGCAGCAGCUGCUGACCAGCAGCUGAAUUCAGACAAGCAUUGCUAGUUGCAUCUGAGCCCGACACAGCAGACAUAGUUCAAGGUCAUCUUGGCAGCCGUGUAAUAUGUGUUGAUAUGCUGAUAUGUGUGAGACUACACCUCGUUCUCAGGCACUUGAGUGAGAACGAGGCACGUGACUUUAGUCUCACACAUAUCAACAUAUGACACAUAUUACACGGCUGCCAAGACGACCUCGAACUCUGUCUGCCAUGUCGGGCUCAGAUGCAACUAGCAACACUUCUCUGAAUUUGGCUGCUGGUCAGCAGCUGCUGCAUGCCCUACAAGAGGUGCAGGGGUGAGUGAACAGCCAGAUGCAGACUAUCAUGCAGCAGGUGCAGACUAUCGUGCAGCAGGCGCAGUCUAUCAUGCAGCAGGUGCAGACUAUCACGCAGCAGGCGCAGACUAUCGUGCAGCAGGCGCAGACUAUCAUGCAGCUGCAAGCCGCGGAGCAGCAGCAGGUGCAGACUAUCAGCAGUGUUCUCCUGUUGUGGGCGCACUGCAGUGCAUGGUUUUGAUAGAUGUGUAAGGUGCAUGGUUUGACAGAUGUGUAAGGUGCAUGGUUUUGAAAGAUGCAUAAGGUGAAUGGUUUUGAUAGAUGCAUAAGGUGAAUGGUUUUGAUCUUCACACCUCCUGUUUGCCUCUGGAGGAGGGGCCCGUCAGGCAUGCAGCUGCUGCACGAUAGCCUGUCCUUGUCCCUAACAUACCGCAGGAGGCCUCACCGUCAUGGUGCCUGCUGCGCAACUUGCAGCACGUCGAUAUCCCGUUGCAGCUGCAGGAUAGUCUGCACCUGCUGCUGCUCCGCAGCUUGCAGCUGCACGAUAGUCUGCACCUGCUGCGCGAUAGUCUGCGCCUGCUGCACGAUAG